UUUUCUUUGAAACCUAAUCACAUCUUUAGCCAACUUCAGUCUGCCAUGGCUUCAUUGUAAUAUGAUGACUCCUCCCCAGAAAUGCUCUUUACUGAAAACCCAUCAACUUUUGUUCACUUAAUGCAGAAGCAAAUUUGAAAACUGCACUGUCCCACAAUAUGAUGAGGAUAGCCUGUUCUUUUUAUUAACUAUAUGCAUUUUAGAAACCAAUUGACAUUCAAAAUCCGAAUUGCCUCACCUCAACUGGAAUCGUCCUUGACAGCGUCUUGACAGUCAAUUAGACCCAAGAAAUGAUCUUUCCAUAUGUCAUCGUGGAUUUGAUUGUCGGCUUGAAUAUUACCCUCCGUCAUCGCAGUUGGAUUACCUCACUGCAAUCGGAUUCAUCCUUGGACAGCGUGUAGACCUCCCAAGAAAUGAUCUUUUCAUAUUGCCGUCUAGAAGAUUACUCUCCGCAGUUGGAUUACCUCGCCGCAAUCAGACCAAAGA
This 486-nucleotide long non-coding RNA is filed under the name Salvia miltiorrhiza (redroot sage). RNAcentral's name for it is "long non-coding RNA (SMIL_LNC011523)". Lineage: Eukaryota; Viridiplantae; Streptophyta; Magnoliopsida; Lamiales; Lamiaceae. The record is from RNAcentral.